CUUUCAUUCACGAUUCCUCAAGUUCCAUCACCUCCCCCAUCGUUACCAUCGCCACCACUCCUCCGCCGACGCCAUCACCAACAACAACACCACCACCAGAAUAACCAGUGUCGCCACCUUCUCUGCUACAUAACAUCUCUCUUUAUCGAGCAGAACCACCACCAACACCAGUAGCGCUACGCCACCAUAACAACUACCAGUACCGUCGUUACCGUCGACUAAUUUCUCUAUUUCGAUUUCACUCUUCUCAAUUUUGGUCAGUCGUUCAUGACAACCAUUACAUCAUCAGCACCACCGAACCAGCUCCACCAUGAAAUUCAUACAUACACCAUCUUAUCAAUUUACUUCAGGUACGAUUUUUUUCCCGAUUUCAAUUAUGGAUUUCAAUUUCCCAGUUUUAAUUUCUAUUCAUACAAUUCAAUUUCGAUUGUUAACACCCUCCUCCUUCACCACUUUCAGUUUCGUAGACAAAACAAUUUAAUUCACAUAGCAGGCAAUGAUUCUUAUUUUCCAAAUUUCAGAUAUACAAGUAAUGAUAUAAAUUACAGGUAUAUAUGUAUCUCCACAUCAACAGUUAAUGUAGCAUAAACAUUUUAAUUUUUCCCCAGAGAUUAUUUCAACAGGGUUCAUAAAAUCCUUAAAUUUCAUAUGUUUACAUUGACUUCGCAAAAUUGGUUGUUUUGGUUUAUAUUCGUAAGAAAAUAUAAAAAUUGGUGGCUUUGUUAUUCGACUUUGUUCUUCAACGGAUUUUUCUUAAAUACGAAAAUAUAUUUGUGGGCAUACAAUAGUUUACUUUAUGGAUUCAGUCUAGUGUUCAAAAUUUUAGGUUAUAUGUUUGAAAUGUCUAUUGUAACAUUUCCUUUGAAAUUUAUCACCACAAGUUAAAAUGGGUGUGUUCAAAAGGCAGAGAUUUGAUGUAGAUUUUCGAAGCAACCAAGAGAUGCGCAACUCCGAUAAUUUACAUUGUCGGUUGCGCUUUUAAUGCCAAAAUAUUAUCAAACAACUUUCAUGAAAUAAUCUAAUCUAUGGAGACUAUUGGAUGCAUAGAUUAACGCUGACGAUGAGGAUGCACAUAUAUGAGAACUUCAUUGCAGAGUGUGAGAAAUCAGUUGAAAACAUCUUCUAGGGCUAUGAUUUUCACAUCUUUGGUGGUUCAGAUAAUUAUGUUAUAUUUGAGCCAUGAGCUCGGAAACCAUGUCGAAUGUUUUAAAGCUAUGGACUAUAAACUCAGUGGUGAAGCAAGAAGGAAAACUAGCGAGUCCAGUGAUUAGAACGAAGAUGAGAAAGUAGCAAGUGUGGUGAUUUGUACAUUGCGGAGGUUGGGGAGUGCGAUUUGAUCUUUUCAAUUUGAAAUACAGUGAAGCUUCGUUACUGUUAUGGUGAUCUUAAAUGCUUGCAUAUGCUUAGAUUGAUAUCGCCACACGUAGACUAUGUAGUCUAUAUUAGAGAUUGGAAAAUCAUUUGUAACGUUUGCCAAUAUGAUAUGCGCUGUUUUAUGCGCUGCUGUCGGGAUUCCCACUUGGUUGGGCUCAUUUGAAGCUUAUGAAGACGGUAGAUGAACAAAGGCUGGCUUAUGAAACUGUGCGACCAGUUAUGGGAGAAGAAAAGGCUGGGGUUGGUGGUACCAUUGAUAGGCUUGAGGAAAACUUCAGAAAAUUGAAAUAACAGAUGCAAGAAGAAAUUUAUAUCUAGGCAAAGAAAUGAAACAGAGAAGUGAAGCAACUUGACAUAUUUUUGAAGAAGUAAUAUGACUCAUACAUACACCACGCAUCCAUUUUUCCCAUUGCAAUGUGCUAUCACAACUAAAUCCGACUUUCAUUAAUAAAGAAAAUGUUAGAAAUUUCACUUUUAUCGAGGUGUCAUAGUUUUCCAACGUGCAACGCACGUGCACUCUAUUUGUAUGUUUAAGUAUCCAAUUUCAAUUUAAUGGAUCAAUAUGAAAAAUAAAAUUAUCAUUUCAAAAUGAUAUUAAGUCCA
Molecule: long non-coding RNA, 1977 nt
Organism: Papaver somniferum (opium poppy)
Lineage: Eukaryota; Viridiplantae; Streptophyta; Magnoliopsida; Ranunculales; Papaveraceae
Exons: 2
Source: RefSeq, a predicted model, not a curated record